GGGAGAGGUGAUGUUUAGAGGAAAUGUUGUGAUGAAUGGGUACUUGAAGAAUGCCAAAGCUACAGAAGAAGCUUUUAAAGGGGGUUGGUUUCGAACUGGGGACUUGGCUGUGAAGCAUCCAGAUGGUUACAUCGAAUUGAAGGAUCGUGCUAAGGACAUCAUUAUAUCCGGUGGAGAAAACAUUAGUACAAUCGAGGUGGAGUCGGUUUUAUUCAGCCAUCCAUCUAUUCUUGACGCUGCUGUAGUAGGAAGACCAGAUGAUUACUGGGGUGAGACACCUUGUGCCUUUGUAAAACUAAAGGAUGGUAACAAUGCAACUAUGGAUGAAAUCAUCAAGUAUUGUCGUGAUCGUUUACCACAUUACAUGGCUCCGAAAACAGUAAUUUUCGAUGAUUUGCCCAAAACAUCUACAGGAAAGACACAAAAAUUUGUUUUGAGACAGAGGGCCAA
RNAcentral lists this unclassified non-coding RNA (450 nucleotides) under Hevea brasiliensis (rubber tree). Lineage: Eukaryota; Viridiplantae; Streptophyta; Magnoliopsida; Malpighiales; Euphorbiaceae. The record is from RNAcentral.